GGAAAUGUAUUUCAUUCUGUUAUGGCUUUUGCUUCCCGUAGGAGGUAUUACUUUUAAUUUAUUGAAUAAACCUUUCUGAAAUGUAUUCCCAUAAGAGUUUAGGUGCAAUAGAGUCUCUGGGCAAGUUGUCCAGGAGGUCUCACCAUCUUCUCUUUUUAGCAGAGACGCAGCUGUUUUUAUAUACAGCGACAUUAAGCUCAGGAGAAAGUCGACACUCCCAUUAAAUGGGAAAACUGGAUGCUAAAGAAUGGUGUAACUUCUCAAAUAUUGUUGUGCUAAUCGUGGGCUUUUCUGAGCUUCUGGAACGCGUUGGUCUACGCCUGCUCUCCUGCAUCUUCUCAUCUUGUCCUUGGAGAAUGAUUUUGGUAAGCCUGGGUUGAGCUGGCAGAGGCUUUGUGAGGCUUCUGACACUGAGUAUGGAAGUGGAUUGAAAGAAGGAUCCUUCCUACAGUAGCAUAAAGCCUUGAUGGCUCAGAGUUGUAACUUUUUCUGGUUUCAAUGGAUGCUUUUUUUUCCUUGAAUGGGUAAGAAAGUAGGAGGAGAAAAACAGGGACUGUGUAUGAUGUCUGCGUGGCUGAAAUAGAAGGAAAUAAAGUUGGGGAGGAGAAUGAAAGAGCGUAACUAUGUAGCUGAUAACAGGCUGGCAAACAGCUUUACCAUGGAUGUGCUACUAUAGAUGGGAAGUGCAGAGCUCAGACUGCUGCCAGCCUGCGCUUCUCUGUCCUGUCAUGUAUUUCACUGGACCCAGGUGUACAGCGUGGCUGCUCUGUGCAUCACAACUCUGCCUACCGUGCAGCCUGGCCAUCAGGGAUGGGAGGUGGGUGUUUGGUGCUGCCCUGUUUGUCCCGGUGGGCUUCCGUGCUGCCUUGCAUGCUCCGAGUGGGUCUCACCAUUGCCUGUGUAAGUGAGAGCAUCGGGAGCUUCUGAGUCACUGUGGAAAGUUAACCUUGAGCUUCAAAGUGGUUGAGAAGUUUUCACUCUGGGUGCUUUUUAUCUUUGCUUUUUCCUAUACUUUUUCUUCCUUCCUACUUUCUGGCAUUCAAUGUGACAUUCAGCUGUAUGCCUUUUCUGGGGCUGAAGAUAGCAGCCUAAAGAUAUCACUUGAAUUGCAGUUGAAAAGAGUGAGAUUGCUGCAGUGGGUUAUAUAUUCUUGGAUUCCUUACUGUUUCCAUGGAAUACACUCUUUUGGGUCACUUAAUAACCAUAUUGCUGUGCUAGUGUCUGGGCAUUCUAGUUAAAACAGGACCAAAAUAUUUGUAGGAAAACAGGAGCUCCUCUUGUUCUGGAUCUAACUCAAACAGAUGGACUAGAAGGAGUGGGAAAAGGAGCAAUAUGGUUGGCAGCAUCUGGGGCAAAUAAAAACAAAGCCAGAAGGGAUGAAUUAGUUGUGAUGCUCACAAGGGGAGCGGGAAAGACUUGUGUAGAAGACUGAUAGCAGAGGAUGCUACAUAGAGGCAUUCUUGCUGGUCCCGCUUGAGAGAAAAUCCAAGGCUAGGGAAGACAUAGCAGAAAAGCAAGGAGGAGUCUGGUUGGUGUUUUCCUUGGAGCCAGUGAUAAAGUACAAGGGAGCAAGAGAAGAGAUCUUCCUCCAGGACUGAGGGCAGUGCAGCAGAAGCAAUAGCUGAGCCCUGUUGAGGGCACAAAACAAGCAGCUUGUGGGGAAUGUAAUGGGACUUCCUGUAGG
Long non-coding RNA from Gallus gallus (chicken), 1684 nucleotides. The record is from Ensembl. NCBI's taxonomy places the organism in Eukaryota, Metazoa, Chordata, Aves, Galliformes, Phasianidae.